GAGUUUGAUCCCGGGCUCAGGACGAACGCUGGCGGCGUGCCUAAUACAUGCAAGUCGAACGAACUCUGGUAUUGAUUGGUGCUUGCAUCAUGAUUUACAUUUGAGUGAGUGGCGAACUGGUGAGUAACACGUGGGAAACCUGCCCAGAAGCGGGGGAUAACACCUGGAAACAGAUGCUAAUACCGCAUAACAACUUGGACCGCAUGGUCCGAGUUUGAAAGAUGGCUUCGGCUAUCACUUUUGGAUGGUCCCGCGGCGUAUUAGCUAGAUGGUGGGGUAACGGCUCACCAUGGCAAUGAUACGUAGCCGACCUGAGAGGGUAAUCGGCCACAUUGGGACUGAGACACGGCCCAAACUCCUACGGGAGGCAGCAGUAGGGAAUCUUCCACAAUGGACGAAAGUCUGAUGGAGCAACGCCGCGUGAGUGAAGAAGGGUUUCGGCUCGUAAAACUCUGUUGUUAAAGAAGAACAUAUCUGAGAGUAACUGUUCAGGUAUUGACGGUAUUUAACCAGAAAGCCACGGCUAACUACGUGCCAGCAGCCGCGGUAAUACGUAGGUGGCAARCSKUGUCCGGAUUUAUUGGGCGUAAAGCGAGCGCAGGCGGUUUUUUAAGUCUGAURUGWRARCCUUCGGYUCAACCGAAGAAGUGCAUCGGAAACUGGGAAACUUGAGUGCAGAAGAGGACAGUGGAACUCCAUGUGUAGCGGUGAAAUGCGUAGAUAUAUGGAAGAACACCAGUGGCGAAGGCGGCUGUCUGGUCUGUAACUGACGCUGAGGCUCGAAAGUAUGGGUAGMAAACAGGAUUAGAUACCCUGGUAGUCCAUMCCGUAAMCGAUGAAUGCUAAGUGUUGGAGGGNUUUCCGCCCUUNNNCAGUGCUGCAGCUAACGCAUUAAGCAUUCCGCCUGGGGAGUACGGCCGCAAGGCUGAAACUCAAAGGAAUUGACGGGGGCCCGCACAAGCGGUGGAGCAUGUGGUUUAAUUCGAAGCUACGCGAAGAACCUUACCAGGUCUUGACAUACUAUGCAAAUCUAAGAGAUUAGACGUUCCCUUCGGGGACAUGGAUACAGGUGGUGCAUGGUUGUCGUCAGCUCGUGUCGUGAGAUGUUGGGUUAAGUCCCGCAACGAGCGCAACCCUUAUUAUCAGUUGCCAGCAUUAAGUUKGGCACUCURSUSWGACUGMCGSYGRSAMAMCGGAGGAAGGUGGGGAUGACGUCAAAUCAUCAUGCCCCUUAUGACCUGNNGGCUACACACGUGCUACAAUGGAUGGUACAACGAGUUGCGAACUCGCGAGAGUAAGCUAAUCUCUUAAAGCCAUUCUCAGUUCGGAUUGUAGGCUGCAACUCGCCUACAUGAAGUCGGAAUCGCUAGUAAUCGCGGAUCAGCAUGCCGCGGUGAAUACGUUCCCGGGCCUUGUACACACCGCCCGUCACACCAUGAGAGUUUGUAACACCCAAAGUCGGUGGGGUAACCUUUUAGGAACCAGCCGCCUAAGGUGGGACAGAUGAUUAGGGUGAAGUCGUAAACAAGGUAGCCACGC
RNAcentral lists this ribosomal RNA (1539 nucleotides) under Lactiplantibacillus plantarum subsp. plantarum. RNAcentral describes it as "partial 16S ribosomal RNA". The record is from RNAcentral. Lineage: Bacteria; Bacillati; Bacillota; Bacilli; Lactobacillales; Lactobacillaceae.